Felis catus (domestic cat) is the source of this 6702-nucleotide RNA transcript. It is a transcript of the gene named trans-2,3-enoyl-CoA reductase like, with no coding region annotated. The record is from RefSeq and is a predicted model, not a curated record. The transcript has 13 exons. NCBI's taxonomy places the organism in Eukaryota, Metazoa, Chordata, Mammalia, Carnivora, Felidae.
GGCAUGGCACUUGACCUUUCCUGGUUUCACCCGCAGUAUUUAAACUGGUGCAAAGGGAACACACUGGCAAGUGUCUUCUGUUGACAUGACAGAUUCUCCUGGUAGUUCACACAAUGUUCAAAAGGCACAAGUCCCUUGCUUCAGAACGCAAGAGAGAACUAUUUUCCCGAGGAGCUACACGGUCCAUCCUGAAGAAUGACUUGAGAAACUUCCACUGUUUGUCGCAUUUUGUGCUCUCAGCGGGCCCUCUAAAAUCAAUUCCAGUAGUUAAACAUUCAAAAACUACGCACUUUGAGAUUGAAGUACUUGAUGCUCAAACAAGAAAGCAGAUAUGUAUUGUGGAUAAGGUGAUACAAACAUCUACUAUUCAUGAUGUUAAACAAAAAUUCCACAAAGCAUGUCCGAAGUGGUACCCUUCUAGAGUUGGCCUGCAGCUAGAACGAGGUGGGCCCUUUUUGAAGGACUACAUAACCAUUCAAAGCAUUGCAACUUCCUCCAUUGUCACUCUCUAUUUUACAGACCUAGGUCAACAGGUCAGUUGGACUACAGUAUUUUUGGCUGAAUACACAGGACCUUUGCUGAUAUAUCUCCUCUUUUAUUUGAGGAUCCCAUACAUAUAUGACAUGAAAGAGAGCUCUAGAAGAUUGCGCCACCCAGUGGUACAUGUGGCUUGCUUCUGUCAUUGUAUACACUAUAUCCGCUAUCUUUUGGAAACCUUAUUUGUCCAUAAAGUUUCUGCAGGACAUACACCUUUGAAAAAUUUGAUAAAGGGCUGUGCCUUUUAUUGGGGAUUUACUUCUUGGAUUGCCUACUAUAUUAAUCACCCACAGUAUACACCACCAUCAUUUGGAAACCGGCAAGUCACAAUAUCUGCUAUCAAUUUUUUGAUUUGUGAAGCUGGAAAUCAUUUCAUCAAUGUAAUUUUGUCUCAUCCUAAUCACACAGGAGUUAAUGCCUGUUUUCCAAGUCCAAAUUAUAACCCCUUCACAUGGAUGUUUUUUCUGGUUUCAUGUCCUAAUUACACCUAUGAGAUUGGAUCAUGGAUUAGUUUCACUGUCAUGACACAAACACUGCCAGUUGGGAUUUUUACACUUCUGAUGAGUAUCCAGAUGUCUUUGUGGGCACAAAAGAAGCAUAAGAUUUAUUUGAAGAAAUUCAAUUCUUAUAUGCAUAGAAAAUCAGCCAUGAUUCCAUUCAUACUAUAGUAAAAAUAACUUAUCUUAUCUCAUAUAUAUAAAAAUAGUAUAUAAAUUCACUAAAUCAAACUUGGUCAAUAGUUGAAUAUUAUGUAACAGAAAUUCAAAACAAACAGUACUUUUAUUGAAUAAAAAUAUUAAAUGGUAGAUUCUAGCUAACUUUAGAGUAAUAAACUUGAGGCAAAUAAAAAGUAGAAACUGUAGAUACGACUAAUAAAAGAUACAUCCAAAUAUUUUCAAGGGAUUGGUCUUUGAACAAGAUUUUUUUAUUUCAUUAAAUGUUUCAUAAUACUAUCUGCUUAAGACAAUUAAAAUAUCUGAAUUAUAAACUAAAAAUUUGUGAUUUUAAAUCACCUGAAUUUUACACAUUUUGAUGGUAAUUUAUUAUUUUCUUUAUUGUUUAGCAUGUUAUUGAAAAGUAUAAUAUGUCACAGUAGUAUUUCAAUUUCUAGUGAAAAUUCUGCCAAUAUUAAAAGUGAAACAUAAUUUCUCAUGAAUCAUAUUUAUUUAUUCAUACAUACAUUGUAUGUUGGCAUUCUGAAACUAUAAUUAAAAAUAUCUUCUAGACAUUAUUUACUAAAUCAUUUGAAUAUAUACUUUGUAUCAAAAUAUAUAUUUAUAUUUACAUAUAAAUUAUAUUUAUAUGUAAAUAUAUAUUGAAUUAUGUAUACUUCAAAUGGGCUAUAUGUGAUGACAACAUUGGAAAUUUUUUUUAAUUAAGAGUGGAAAUAUUUUUUGCUUUAUUUUUACAUAUUUAAAUUCCUAUGUCCUCUCAAACUUUGUUUGCAUAUAUGUAAGUAUGUAUGUGACUAUGCAUAUAUAUUUUGACAAAGAGAUGACUGAUGUUAUAAAAAUCAAGUACACAUUAGUUAAACAUUUUAAAGAAAUUCUGAGUUUCCUUAUUUUUAAACUGGGAUUUUUUAGAUUGGUUAAUUUCUGCAGCGUUCUAAGUUUUACAUAAUCAAAAUAUUCUAAUUAAAGUUCUUAGAUUAUAUACAUAUUUGUAAAAUGUUCUUGGUAAAUGUAGGUAUAUAUACCUUCUGUGGGUGUUUAUCAUUAAUAUAUGUAGCAAAUUAUUCAAGAAAUAACAAAAGCACCCCUUUGAAAAGCUCUGUUAUCUUCCCUAAAUAUAUAGUGAUAAAAUAUCUCAGAGGAAGACGCAUAGCUUUAAUUACCUAAUACCUAUUCAGCAAAAUAUCAUGGACUCAUUUGAAAGUAUUAACAGUAGGUACUAUGAAUUAACCACAUACACUGAAUGCAUCUAUGUUAUCAACCACCUGUGAUAAUCAUCCCUUUGUUGAAAGACAAAGAGUAGUUUAUGUUUUCUUAACUGGAUUCAGACUGAUGCCAGCUCAGGAACUUUGCAUAUUCUUAUAGGAUUAGAAGAUCUUUGACCAAUAAUUGCACUACUAGGCAUUUACCCAAAGAAUAUAAGAACACUAAUUCAAAGGGAUACGUAUACUCUUUUGUUUCCGCAGCAUUAUUUACAAUAACCAAGAUAUGAAACAACCCAAAUGUCCAUUGAUUGCUGAAUAAAGAUGUGGUAUAUACAUACAAUGGAAUACUCUUCAGCCAUAGCAAAGAGUGAAAUCAUCCAAUUUGCAAUGACAUGGAUGGAGAUAAGGGUAUUAUGCUAAGUGAAAUAAGUCAGUCAGAGAAAGACAUACCAUAUGAUUUCAAUCCUAUUGGGGCUUUAAGAAUGGGGGGGGGAGAGACAUAGAGAGAGAGAGAAAGAGACUCCUAAUUAUAGAGAACAAUCUGAUGGUUAUGGAAUGGGAUAGGCUAAGUAGAUGAUGGGGACUAAGAGGUGCACUUGUCAUGAUGAGCACAGGGUAAUGUAUGGAACUGUUGAAUUAUUAUAUUGUACACCUGAAACUAAUAUAACACUGUAUGUUAACUAUCUGGAAUUAAAAUUAAAAAAAAAAAACUUAAAACAAAACAAAAUACUUCCAUUUUUAUUACCCUAGGAUUUCAAAGCAGGCCAUAGGAUUUGUCCUUAGUGGACAAGAAUAAUAAUUGUUCUAAGUGGAUCAGUAGCUCAGCAGUCACACUGUUGUUCCUAAAGUCUUCUCAAAGGUGAGCAGAUAUGAUGCCUCAGCAAAUAGGAUACUGCACAAAUGAGAUGUUCAAGCAGCUAAGUUUAAUUGGAGAAAAACUUUUGAAAAUAAAAAAAUUUCUGCAGGUACAAUAUGUCUUAGCUUUUAUUUCUAUAUUUGGCAAAUGGAAACACGUAAAAUCAUGUAAAAACAUGUAAAAUUUCUUCUUUGAUAACUGACAGAGCAAUAUAGAAUUGCCUACCAACCCUUCAUGAUUAAUAAAAACAACAUAAAAAUAGCAUUCUAAGUUAUAUUUUCAUGGCUAUUCCAAAGUAAUGUAUAAUUUCUCCAAAUGUCCUCUACUUUCUGAUUUAACAAUCUAAAAAAUAAUUAGACAUUAAACAAAAUAAUUUGUUUAUAUAAUAUGCUGUCCCAAAUAUGUUUCUUUAUACCAUAGUCUCCCUGAGUGUCAAAAUUCUCACCUUAUAAGUAAAAUACACUUACAUCAUCAAAUUCUGAAAUUCUUGUGUAUUUUCAACAAUAGCGAUUUUUUUUUGUCAAGGUGAAGAUUCUGGGAAUAUAAAAAACUUAUACAUUCCCUGCUUUCAUAAAAAAAAGACAAAAGAGGCCCUAUUUCUGAUUUGAAUGAGGUAUGUAUAUACAUGAUAUCUUCAUAUAAGUGAUGUGAGUUUGGUCAAGGAGUUUUGUAGUUUGGGAAAUGGACACAUUUAAUGCUAUCAGUAGUUAUAUCAAUUGGGAAAUAAUUCUAAGAUGUUGCCACUUCACAACCAACUUUUCAUAAUCCACUUAUUGAUGAAUUUGUUAAAAAAAUAAAUGUCAGCUGUGGGCAAUCAUAAGAGGAAAAAAUGGGAAUAUGUAGUUCUGCUUUUUAUAUAGUUUACAUAUUUAGGACAUAACAAUUCAUUAAAAAUAUUUAGUAGAAUUAAUUGAAAUUAAUUAAAAUAAACAUACUAAAAAUAUUAUCCUUAUGUUUUAUUCUUUUAUUUACUGCGCUGUUUGGAUAUAAAGGAAUGGACAUUACCUCAAGCUGUAAAUUCAUGUUCAAAUUUUGGAACUGGGAACCUGAUUGACAUGAUCUGUCUUCUCUCAGGCCACUUCUCUAUUACAAUAUCUUAAAAUGCAUAUUCUUUCCAUUUCUAUCAUUUUUGCAGAACAUACCAUUUCUAAAAACAAAGCAAACACCCCUAAAGUCUGAACCUAAAAUAUAUCAUGAGGGUUAUAAAUCUUUUUUUCUGAGAAAUACAUAGAUCUAUAAAUUUGUGUCCAAUGAUAUCUUUAUAGAUUGGGUUAUUUAUUGGUUUAUUUGGUAUUUUAUAACUCCUCUGACACAUCUAGAUAUAAAUCAGUUUACAGGGUCUUUAGGAGAAUGAAUCUAUGCAAAGUAGACUAGACCAGAUUGGGCAAUGAGUCUCAUGUAACGUGUCCCUCCAUCAAAAAUAGAACUUACUAUAUCUUCAUUAAUAAAGGCCUCAUUCAAAACAAAGGCUGGAAAUAAACUUAAGCAGGGGUUCAAAAAUAUAAUCACGGAUUUCAGCUUCUAUUGUCCAGAUCAUUUAAUAAAAUGAUUAUUAUGAUCCCUACCAAACUAUAGCUUUGCACCUUCCAUUUGGAGUGUUUAAGAAUGGUAGCCAAUAAUAUAUUUAAAUUUAUGAAUGUAAUUAAUCUUAUGAAAGUAAAUAAAUUAACAUCAGAGUUUUCAGACUGAUACUGGAUUUGUGAUUACAUAUAAUACUUUAAAAAAUUAGACUUCACUUAAUCUAAUAAUUCCUCUAAUAGCUGCUUUUUUUAAAUAAUUCUGGAAUAAUACUUUCUCUGAUCCCAAAUAAAAUUUUGCAAAUACCACAUCUUUAUCUCUCACACAUUUCUUAUAAAAAGUAGCUAGAGAAAGAAAAUAAUCAGAGGAAAAACAACAAAAUUUAAAUCAGCUGCUAUGCUACUCCAUAUUAUCACAGCAUGCCUCUAUUCCCCACUCCUCAUCAUGUCUACCUCAAGCUGCUAUUUUAAAGGUGUUUCUGGUUUGUUUGCAUGUGUUUUUAAAAAAUGUUUUGGCUAAUUUUGAAUAAAAAUAGACCUGUAGUUCAUUUUUUCUUUUAGCAAGUUUUGUGUAAACAAAGUUAUUCUCUGACUCGUACACACACGCAAACACACACACACACACACACACACACACACACACACAUACACACAGAAAUUUUAAACAAUAUUUCUUAAGAGAAAGACUAUGUUGUGUCAAAUAAUUUUUAAGUAAAUUAAGCAUAUUCUUAUUUUUUUAAAUAUGCAUGUUUUAUCUUUUCUAUAGAAAUGUUAAGUCUAAUGUCUAAGAAUAGUCAAAUAUUAAAAUUCAAUGUUGUAGUUGAAUAUCUUGUAUACUGACAUUUAAUCUUCAGUAACUAAAUGCAUUUUAAAGAUAUUUUAAGUUCAAUUUUAAGUAACUGGCAUUCAGAACAUGUUAAGUUUUAGCAGCUGAUAUAUUUCAGUUAAAAUAUUUGUUCUCAUAAGAUGAAAUACAAUGACCUGUGAAUCAGUAGUAAGGGAUCUUUAUAUUUUUAUUUUAAUAAAAAAGAAAACCUUUAUAUUGCUCUUGGAUAUUAAAGGUGAUUACAGCAAAUGUUACUUUAUAAGCACAAUUAAAGGCAUUUAUGCAGCUUUUGCAUAAUGAUAAUAAUUAAAAACCAUUUAUUUUAAAGGCUGCUUAAAAGUUAAUUUUCACCCAGGUGCAUAUUGAAGCCUAUAAUUAGCCUUUCUUCAGAGGAGGUUUGGUUGAGGAAACACAUAAAGGCAUUUCCAAAGGCAGAAGUUCACUGCUAAAAUGGGAUUUUGUUUUUAACUUUAGUUUGAUAAUGGUGCUUAAAAUAUGUGAGAACAAAUGCUCCGAAAUACUUUAAAAAAUGAAUCUAUAACCAUCCCAGAUUGAUUUCAUUGAGAAGACAUAUAGAAGACCUAUUUUCAUAUAAUUUGUUUGGGAAAUGAAGUCCCAUAAGACUGCUACCUGGAAAAUUUUAUUAUUUACAACAAAUAUAAGAAAUUUUCAAAACAAUUACAAAGCAUAAUUUCCUAUGUAUCUCGUCAUUCUACUGGGCUGGAAAUCAAUGCUAUUUCUAUAAUAAAUUCUCACUUAACAAUUCAUUCUUCCUCUACUAGUGAUGUCCUACUUACUAUCCAUUCACCAGAUGGUGCAUUUUCUGAAAGCUCUCUCAUAUUUCCAGACAGAAUCUCCAAGUAGAGCAGACCAUCUCAGUUUGGAAGCACUUACAUAUUUAUUUCACAUCAGAAGAUUGAUACCUCUGAUAUACCUCUACUGGAGUCUUUAUUUUUCUGUCUUGUUCUAUAACAGUGAAGAGUAGAUCAUCCACCAAUUAUAAAAUUUAGCAAGUCCUGUUCUUAGGUCAAUCCAAUAAGCCUGAAGAAUAAAGAUCGGUUCUCUGCUUCAUUAGCAUGAGACAUCAUAA